Molecule: RNA transcript, 3315 nt
Organism: Nothobranchius furzeri (turquoise killifish)
Lineage: Eukaryota; Metazoa; Chordata; Actinopteri; Cyprinodontiformes; Nothobranchiidae
Gene: cald1a
Gene name: caldesmon 1a
Source: RefSeq, a predicted model, not a curated record
CAUCCUCUGAAGGGAGGGGCUUGGACUGGUUUAGGGUUUAUCCGAAUUAGUGGAGGAGCGUUUGCAGACUGGUUCCCCCUUUCCUCUCCUCUCACACGGAUCCGCAGCUCUACUUUGUCCCGUUAAGAUCCGCAGAGUGCACUCAUGGAGGAUUUGGACUUUGAGCGGCGCCGGGAGCUGAGGAAGCAAAAGCGGGAGGAGAUGCGUCUGGAGGCUUCACGGAUGCUGCGAAACAACGAUGAUGAGGAGGAGGCUGCUCGGGAAAGGAGGCGUCGGGCACGCCAGGAGAGACUGAGGAGCAGGGAGAGUGAGGAUCCCAGUGACCAGCUGGAGAGCCCGGUCGUGACAAACAGCCACAGUGUGAUGGAAUCCGUGUCUGUGAGCAGCGGCGGCGGAGAAGACGACGAUCAGGCCCUGCAGGACCGCAUGGCCAAACGGGAAGAGAGACGGCAGCGACGCCUGAAGGAGGCGCUAGAAAGGCAGAAGCAGCUGGACCCUGCUACCUCUGAGGGGAGCGAUGGCUUCACUGUUGAGAAGAACAAUACAGAGGCGGAGGAGAGGUCCUCCUCCUGGCGCAGAGGUCGAUACCGUGACGACCAGGACGAGGAGAACACUGUGAGCAUGAAGCGAGAGGAGCCUAAAGAGGAGGAGCAGGAGGAAGAGGAGGAGACUGCUCCGGAGAGAGAAGAGGAAGAGGAGCAGAAAUCUCUGAGAAGGUCUAACUACAGAGAGAUGGCAUCACCUGAGGAGCCCAAAGAGAAGGAGAAGGAACUCGCUGAGGAACAAGCUCACUCGGUAGUCAGUGAUUGGUCAAAUCAGGCUGAGUCAGCUAAUUCAGAGGCUGAGGAGGAUGCAGUAGCAUCCGGGGAGAAUGAAGAGGUGAGUGAGUUCAGGGAGGAUCGGAGGAAGCAUAAUGGAGGUCUGCACCAGCAGGAGGAGGAGGCUCCCAAACAGCACAGGAAACCAGAGAGGACCCCCAGCCGCGGCAGCCUGCGCUCCCCCGAAGUGUCGGCAAGCGACGAGCUGGAUGAUGACGCCCGCUUGGAGGCCGAACGCAAGCUGGAGGUGCUUAAGCGUCGCCGUGACGACGCCGAGAGUGAGGAGUUCGAGAGGAUGAGGCAGAAGCAGCAGGAAGCCGAGGUUGAGCUGGAGGAGCUGAAGAAGAAGAGGGAGGGGAGGAGGAAGGUGCUGGAGGAGGAGGAGAGGCUGCGGAAGCAAGAGGAGGACGAGCGGAGAGCCAAGGAGGAGGAGGAGAAGAGGAAGAUGAAGGAGGAAAUCGAGAGAAGAAGAGCAGAGGCCGCUGAGAAGCGACAGAAGGCAGAGGACACCGUGGAUGAAGAGGGCAAGCCCUUCAAGUGUGUCAGCCCUCGAGGCUCCUCUCUUAAGAUUGGGGAGAGAGCAGAGUUUCUGAACAAGUCGGCUCAGAGAAGCAGCUCGGUGAAGGUGGCUCAUACCCCUGUGGUGUCCAAGAUCGACAACCGGCUGGAGCAGUACACCUCAGCUGCUCAGAGAGAAAACAAAGAGUCUCGAUCUCCUCGUGCCGUCGUUGCAGAUCUUCCCGCGGUCACUGAUGUGCGAAAUAUCAAGAGCAUGUGGGAGAGAGGCAACGUGUUUGGCUCUCCAGGGGGAGGAGGGAGUGCGUUUAAGGAAGCAGCUGUGAUAAAGACGGGCGUGGCAGGCCGCAUCAAUGACUGGCUGAACAAAACCCCAGAGAGUGGCAAGACGUCAGGAGGAAGGCCAGCGGACCUGAAACCUGUUGAUGUCACCAACAAAAGGAGCCUCUGGGAAAACAAAGGCGCCACUCCAACAAAGAACUCUCAUAGCUAGUUGACCUCGACAUUCAGUCUGGAAUAAUCCUGGAGAGAUGGCAGGCAGAGGGGAGACCAAAUCAGUCGCUAAUGGUAUGGGACACUAAUGCCCUCAAGGAGCCACCGUAGUUGGGGACCAGGACAAUUUUUCCUUCAUUUUUUAUUUUUAUUUGUAUUUUAUUUUUUUGCCUCUUAAAAACCAAAUAAGGAUCCCAAAUAAAAAACCCCACUGAGAGACCCUGUCGUUGGGUUUCCAAGUAUCGUGCCUUUGCACAAAGAAUUUUCUAUGUUAAAAAAUGCUGUGAAAUUUGAACAUUUAGCUUGUAAAAGAUCUUUCCAAGAUGACAAAAGUGAUUAAGUUUAAGAUGUUUGUCCUCCACGUGGCGACAGAGCGGACCAAAAGCUUCCACAUUCCAGAGCGGUGGGUGAAACCAGUCCUCUUCCUCUCACAGAUCAUGUUUCCAUCCUUUUUUAAUUUAUAUUUAUAGUGAAAGCUUCACCACAUUCCUGUUUUAUUCCACAUUCACCUGUUCAGGAUAGAAACGCGCCAGAAGCACUUUUAGGAUUUAGCUGAUCUCACUUUUUUUAGGAAUAUAUGCCAGCACGUGAUGUUAUGAGUAUCAGAAAGCAUAAUUUAUCACACCUGUGUACUCUGAACAACCCUACUCAAUAACAGGCAGGUCAUUUUAUUAUGCUUUUAUGUCUUUUUAUUUAAGUUUUCAUGUGGUUUAUGGUAUGUAGCUGUUUUUGAAGCUUUGUCGAUCACUUUAAACAAACAAUUAUAUCUUCCAACAUUCCUUUUUAAAAUGGUGCCUUCACUGCUUAAAGCUUCGGGUUUAUAAUAUAAAGAAUAUGUGCAAACCGACCAACUUUUGUAUUCUGCAUUCACUCUAACUUCUUUAUUAUAAUUAUUAUUUUAAGAUUAAGGUAUGCAAAGUAAAAUCUGGUUGCCUGAGUAUAUGUACCACUAUGUAAAACCUCUUGCCUUAUGAUUGCAAUUAAGUCCUUUACAGCAGCUGGAAGUCCGUACAUGAAAGCCUCCCACCAACAGGAGGAGAUCCAGAUGUGUUACUUCUCAUUUAUUAUUAUAAUUAUUAUUAUUUGUGGCUGGAACGAGUGGCUCAUAGCGUUGAUGAGAACAUGAAGGGUUUGUCGGGGCAUUAAAUCAAUUAAUGUUUUUGCUCCAGAGUCUGACAAUCACAUCCCACAGGGGAGCUCGACCAAAACAUCUUAAAGAGUGAAUUAAAGUGAUGUUUAUGGGUUUUUUUAAUACAGUGGUGUUAUAAUGCUGUACUUUUUUACAAUCUUGUGUUCAUUUAAUGCUCCUUUUUUAAAUCCUCUUUUUUUAACUAGGCACUUGUUUGUGUAGCGCUGAGCCUAUGCAACAUCUGUUUGUACCCGUAUCUACUCUAUCUACCGAUGUCAUGACACUUUGUCAAAGUGGAUGAAUGUUUUUAACUUUGUAUUCUUGACACAGCAGCAGCAAUAAAGAUGUUGAGGUAUUCCA